GAUGAACGCUGGCGGCGUGCCUAAUACAUGCAAGUCGAGCGAACGGACGAGAAGCUUGCUUCUCUGAUGUUAGCGGCGGACGGGUGAGUAACACGUGGAUAACCUACCUAUAAGACUGGGAUAACUUCGGGAAACCGGAGCUAAUACCGGAUAAUAUUUUGAACCGCAUGGUUCAAAAGUGAAAGACGGUCUUGCUGUCACUUAUAGAUGGAUCCGCGCUGCAUUAGCUAGUUGGUAAGGUAACGGCUUACCAAGGCAACGAUGCAUAGCCGACCUGAGAGGGUGAUCGGCCACACUGGAACUGAGACACGGUCCAGACUCCUACGGGAGGCAGCAGUAGGGAAUCUUCCGCAAUGGGCGAAAGCCUGACGGAGCAACGCCGCGUGAGUGAUGAAGGUCUUCGGAUCGUAAAACUCUGUUAUUAGGGAAGAACAUAUGUGUAAGUAACUGUGCACAUCUUGACGGUACCUAAACAGAAAGCCACGGCUAACUACGUG
This 497-nucleotide ribosomal RNA is filed under the name uncultured bacterium. Its description in RNAcentral is "partial 16S ribosomal RNA". It matches the Rfam family "Bacterial small subunit ribosomal RNA", at positions 28 to 507 of the family's 1533-position model. The record is from RNAcentral.